AGUUUUAUAGUCAAUAAUGAUUUUAAAUUGCAAAUUUAAAGGAGAGGGAUCCUCUAAAACUU
RNAcentral lists this transfer RNA (62 nucleotides) under Paederus fuscipes. RNAcentral's name for it is "tRNA-Cys". The record is from RNAcentral. Lineage: Eukaryota; Metazoa; Arthropoda; Insecta; Coleoptera; Staphylinidae.